RNAcentral lists this transfer RNA (91 nucleotides) under Planctomycetota bacterium. RNAcentral's name for it is "Planctomycetes bacterium (soil metagenome) tRNA-Tyr". Lineage: Bacteria; Pseudomonadati; Planctomycetota. The record is from RNAcentral.
GGAAGGUGUUCCUAAGGCCUGCUGGGCAGGCGCCGCGCUGUAGACGCGGUCCCCUCGUGGGCACGACGUUCGAUUCGUCCGCCUUCCACCA